This 392-nucleotide ribosomal RNA is filed under the name uncultured bacterium. Its description in RNAcentral is "partial 16S ribosomal RNA". It matches the Rfam family "Bacterial small subunit ribosomal RNA", at positions 523 to 918 of the family's 1533-position model. The record is from RNAcentral.
AUACGUAGGAUCCGAGCGUUAUCCGGAUUUAUUGGGUUUAAAGGGUGCGCAGGCGGCCAUUUAAGUCAGCGGUUAAAUCGUGGGGCUCAACCCCAUUCUGCCGUUGAUACUGGGUGGCUUGAUUGCGGUCGAGGUUGGCGGAAUUCGUUGUGUAGCGGUGAAAUGCAUAGAUAUGACGAAGAACACCGAUUGCGUAGGCAGCUGACCAGAUCGCAAAUGACGCUCAUGCACGAAAGUGCGGGGAUCGAACAGGAUUAGAUACCCUGGUAGUCCGCACAGUAAACGAUGAAUACUUGUUUUCGGCGAUAUAAUGUCGGAGGCAAAGCGAAAGCGAUAAGUAUUCCACCUGGGGAGUACGCCGGCAACGGUGAAACUCAAAUGAAUUGACGGGG